This is a long non-coding RNA of Gadus chalcogrammus (walleye pollock), 303 nucleotides long. RefSeq lists it as uncharacterized. The transcript is spliced from 3 exons. Lineage: Eukaryota; Metazoa; Chordata; Actinopteri; Gadiformes; Gadidae. The record is from RefSeq and is a predicted model, not a curated record.
CCCCACGAGGACUUGGCAGCAAAUGAAGUACAAAAAUAUAGUUUAAACAGCAAAUCGAAAAAAUGCAGAGGCCCGGCAGACUGGAGGGGGUCCACCACCUGCAGCCCUCACAGAGGCUGAGGAGAUGGCCCUCAGCCAACAGAGUAUGCGUCCUGUGGCUGAGGGCAUCCCUGGGGGGAGCUCCUCUGAUCCCCCCCACCCCCCAGGAUAGAAGUGCCUUUACAGUAUAAGAGUUACUGAUGGCGUCAUCGCCCUACUUGAACCAGAUGCCCUCACCAACCUCCAUGCAAUUGUAACAAUUCA